Molecule: long non-coding RNA, 442 nt
Filed under: Volvox carteri
Lineage: Eukaryota; Viridiplantae; Chlorophyta; Chlorophyceae; Chlamydomonadales; Volvocaceae
Description: long non-coding RNA (VCAR_LNC001995)
Source: RNAcentral
ACGGCCAGAGGACAGCAUGCAGGCAAAACAAGAAUAGACAUCAACGGCAAUUUACAGAUGCAGUACAUGGCUCCGAACAGAUCCAUCCGUCUCCCAGCAAGCGGGAGAUGUUUUGGGACAGGAACCCCCAUAUGGACCACUGUCGUCACGGCCGGAGGACAGCAUGCAGGCAAAACAAGAAUAGACAUCAGGGCAAUUUACAGAUGCAGUACAUGGCUCAGAACAGAUCCAUCCGUCUCCCAGCAAGCGGGAGAUGUUUUGGGACAGGAACCCCCAUAUGGACCACUGUCGUCACGGCCAGAGAACAGCAUGCAGGCAAAACAAGAAUAGUCAUCAACGGCAAUUUACAGAUGCAGUACAUGGCUCAGAACAGAUCCAUCCGUCUCCCAGCAAGCGGGAGAUGUUUGGGGACAGGAACCCCCAUAUGGACCACUGUCGUCAC